RNAcentral lists this transfer RNA (72 nucleotides) under Camelus bactrianus (Bactrian camel). It matches the Rfam family "tRNA". From Rfam's summary of the family: Transfer RNA (tRNA) molecules are approximately 80 nucleotides in length. Their secondary structure includes four short double-helical elements and three loops (D, anti-codon, and T loops). RNAcentral also lists the same sequence under 2 other names. The record is from Rfam by way of RNAcentral. Lineage: Eukaryota; Metazoa; Chordata; Mammalia; Artiodactyla; Camelidae.
AGGGAUAUAGUUCAGUAGCAGAGUGUGUGCUUAGCAUGCAUGAGGUCCUAGGUUCCAUCCUUAGUACCUCCG